Molecule: long non-coding RNA, 7180 nt
Filed under: Gossypium raimondii (Peruvian cotton)
Lineage: Eukaryota; Viridiplantae; Streptophyta; Magnoliopsida; Malvales; Malvaceae
Description: long non-coding RNA (GRAI_LNC000294)
Source: RNAcentral
GGGUGAAGUUGCAAUGAAGAUUGAUAUCAGUAAGGCCUAUGACAAGGUGGAUUGGAACUACCUGUGGUACAUUUUGCUGAAAUUAGGGUUUGUUGCGAGAUGGGUUUACUAGAUAAUGCUUUGUGAGACCUUUGUGUUAAAGGGUAAUGUAGAAAUUAUUUGUUACUGAUUGAAUAAGUUAGUCGUUGAGUCAGUCAAAGUCUGUUUUAGAAACAGACAUAGUCUUUGUUUAAUGCCAGUAGUGUUCCUUUUAUUUAGGAGAUUUAUCAAGAUACUAUUAAAGUCCUAAUAUAUCUCUAAGUUGUUAGCUGUUUCGGUAUUUAAAGUACUCUUCAUGGAAUAAAGGCUGAAUGUCACUGUUUUCAAUUUCUCUGAAUUCCUAUUGUUUCCGCUUCAGUCCUUUGUUCUGGUUUUUUUAGCAGCAGCUUUUUAUCAACAUCUGGUAUCCUACUCGAGGCCUGUGUUCAAGCUUAUGAUGGCGAGCAAUCAGAAUGGAGUGAACCUCUCACAGCCGUUGGUUCUAAUUUUUCAAGGUAGCAACUAUGGAGUUUGGAGCACUAAGAUGAAGACUUUGUUUUUGUCCCAAGACCUAUGGGACUUGGUGGGAAAUGGAUACGGUGAAGAGGAGGCAGUAGCUGAGACUCUCAAAGAUAUAAGAAAGAGGGAUGCUAAAGCUUUGUUUUUCAUCCAACAAGCUGUGGAUGAAUCAAUUUUUCCUCACAUUGAAGUGGUGACGCGUUCGAAAGAAGCAUGGGGCAUGCUACGAACGGCAUAUCAAGGUACUACAAAGGUGAUGUCUGUCAAACUUCAAACUCUGCGUAGGAAGUUUGAUAAUUUUAUUAUGGAAGAUGAUGAUGUUCUGGAUGAUUAUGUGUCAAGAGUAAUUGAUGUUGUGAAUCAAAUUCGAAAAUAUGGUGAGAAUUUAAGUGAUCAAAGGGUAGUUGAGAAGAUUCUUAGGAGUUUACCGAGGAAAUAUGGUCAUGUAGUUGUAGCUAUAGAAGAAUCAAAAGAUUUGAGUGUGUUAACAAUUGAUGAGUUGUAAGGCUCUCUUUACUCUCAUGAUGAUAGGAUGAAAAGGUAUGAUAAUGCGUCUAUUGAGAAUGCCCUUUAUAGUUGGUCGCAAUACUCUCGUGGUGGAAAGGCACCAGCGAAACAAACUUCAAUGACUAGUGUGGAGGAAAUUCAUCUCGUGAGAGAAGAAGAGGUAGGCCGGUGGCCGAUUCAAUGGACAGAACCAACGGUAUAGAGAUGACGAUAAAGGAGAAAAUAGUAGUCCAAAACAAUAUUACUAUUGCAAAAGGUUCGGGUAUAUUGAGAGGUUUUGCAAGCUUAAAGAGAAGCAGGCUAACCUGACUCAUGAAGAUAGUGAAGAAGAUGAGACAGAGAGCCUAUUCGUUGCAUGCUUUAGUGCUAAGGAGUGUUCUCCUGAGGUUUGGUACAGAGAUAGUGGCUGUAGGAAUCAUAUGACAAGUGAAUUAAGUCUCUUCAGCAACUUAGAUAAGUCGGUAACUAGCCGAAUAACGCUUGGUGAUGGAACUGUUCGUGUAGCAAAGGGAAAAGGUACUGUGCAGAUGAAUUCCCUAGGUCUUAAUUGCAUUCAUAAUGUUUUGUAUGUUCCAGACUUAGAUUCUAAUUUGCUAAGUGUUAGGCAAUUUAUGGUGGAUGGGUAUUCACUUGUCUUUGAGGAAUUCAAUUGCUGCAUUUUUAAGGAUAAAUCAAAAAAGCACCUGUUAGUGAGUGUUUCAAUGGCAAAAAAUAAGAUUUUUCCUUAUAAUCUCACAAUUGAUGAAAAGCUUUCAUUGAAGGCAGAAUCAUUUGAUGAAAAUUGGUUGUGGCAUCAUAGAUAUGGGCACUUAAGUUUUUGUAGUUUAAAACUCAUGUCUUAAAAGAAUUUAGUUGAUGGUUUACCUCCAAUAAAAAAUGUUGGUGAUGUGUGUGAGAGCUGUAUAUUUGGGAAACAACAUCGAGAUUCAUUUCCAAAGGGCAAGGCAAGGAGAGCUUCCCAACUUGCUGAACUUAUUCAUGUUGAUCUUUGCAGACCGAUGAGAACACUUUCUCUCAAUAACAAUAGGUAUUUUUUAGUCUUUGUUGAUGACUACAGUAGAAUGACAUGGGUGUACUUUGUCAAAGAAAAAUCAGAGGCUCUUUGAGGUUUCAAGAAGUUUAAAGUAAGUAUUGAGAAACAAAGUGGCCAGCCUAUAAAGACCUUGCAGAUAGAUCGUGGUGGAGAAUUUCUCUCUACUGAAUUCAACAAAAUUUGUGAAGAAUCUGGCAGUCAAUGCCAGCUAACAGCAAGCUACACCCCUCAACAAAAUGGAGUCACUAAGAGGAAGAAUCAGAGUCUUUUUGAGAUGGGAAAAUACUUACUUAAAGCUAAAGAUCUUCCAAAAAGUUUCUGGGCAAAAGCAAUUCACACAGCAGUGUACAUCCUCAACCGAUAUCCAAUAUAGCUCUAGAACAAAAGACACCAUUUGAAGCUUGGCAUAGGUGGAAACCUGAGGUAACUCAUGUGAGAAUUUUUGGUUACAUUGCGUUUGGGCAUAUUCCAUCUCAAAAGAAAGGAAAGUUAGAUGAUAAUAGCACUAAAUGUAUCUUUGUUGGGUAUAGCUCUAAAACUAAAGGAUAUCGAUUGUAUAAUCCUUUAUCUAAGAAGCUAUUAAUUAGUCGUGAUGUUGUUUUUGAUGAGAAAAACUCUUGGAAUUAGAAGGAAUUACAAGCAGGUUCAGAAGCAUUACUUGAAGAUGGUGAAUGUCUCGACACUCAUCCGAGUCAAGAAAAUGGAGAUGGAAGUUCUUACUCAUCAGCACCAAGCAGUCCUUCAGUAAUUCUAAAUACCACUUCAUCAAGCUCUUCUUCAUCAGAAUCACCACCUAGAAAAUGGAGAUCGUUGGCAGAAAUUUAUGCAAGCACUGAACAAUGCCAAUUCGCCCAAAUUGAAGAUCCAAUCAUCUUUGAAGAAGCAAUCAAAUCCAAGGAAUGGCAAGAUGCAAUGGAUAAUGAAAUGAAAGCCUUGAAAAAGAACAAGACGUGGGAAUUAGUAGAUCUUCCAAAUGGAAAAGAAGCUGUUGGGUUAAAAUAUAGAUUUUAAAAACUAAAUUCUAGGCUGAUGGUUCCAUUCAAAAGCAUAAAGAAAGUAUGGUUGCACGAGGGUAUAUACAGCAUGACGGGUUAGAUUUCCAAGAAACUCUCACCGGUAUCAAGAUUUGACACCAUACGUGUUAUUCUGUUAAUUGCAGCUCAAUUAAGUUGGGAGGUUUAUCAGUUUGAUGUCAAGUCGGCCUUUUUAAAUGGGAUCUUAAAAGAAUAAGUAUAUGUGCAGCAACCAAAAGGUUACGAGAUUACAAAUCAAGAAGAGAAAGUGUAUAGGUUGAAAAAGGCUCUAUAUAGCUUAAUGCAAGCGCCGCGAGCCUGGUAUGGAAGAAUUGAUGGAUAUUUCAGCAAUAAUGGUUUUCAAAGAAGUCCAGUGAGCCAAGUCUAUCUAUGAAAAGUAAAGGUACUUCUGAGAUUCUCAUUAUUUGCCUUUAUGUUGAUGAUUUGAUUUAUACUAGCAAUAGUAGUGCUUUGUUGAAUGAGUUUAAAAAGCUGAUGACAGACAAAUUUGAAAUGACUGAUUUGGGGUUGAUGAGUUUCUUUCUAGGGCUAGAAAUUAAAUAUUGUGCAAAGGGUAUUUUUAUGUCUUAAGAAAAAUAUGUGAAUGAUCUUCUUGAAAAGUUCAACUUAAAGGACUGCAAUCUCGUGAGUACUCCAAUGUGCACCAAUCAAAAAUUUUGUUUAGAUGAUGGGGGAGAGAAAAUUGAUUGUUAAUUGUUUCGAAGUCUGAUUGAGAGUCUGUUGUAUCUAACAAAUAGUAGACCUGAUAUUUUGCAAGCAACAGAUCUCUUGUCUAGAUAUAUGUAGAGUCCAAGCAAGCAUCACUUUGGAGCUGCCAAGCAAAUCUUGCGCUAUUUGAAGGGGACAAGCUCAUUUGGAAUAUGGUAUAAGUUCUCUAACAAUCAAAGACUGUAUGGUUUUUCAGAUAGUGAUUUGGGUGGUUGCAUUGAAGAUCGCAAGAGUACAACUAGUUACGUUUUUACUAUGGGUAGCUGAGCUGUUUCAUGAAGCUCAAAGAAGCAACCAUCAACUACUUUAUCAUCUUUGGAGGCUGAAUAUAUGGCUGUUAUUGCUGCUGCGUGUCAAGCUAUCUGGAUACGAAGAAUUCUUGAUGAUUUAAAGCAAACACAAGUAGAGGCAACUACCAUCUAUUGUGAUAAUCAGUCAACAAUUGCAAUGACAAAAAACCCUGUUUAUCACAGUAGAACAAGACACAUUGAAACACGUUAUCAUUUCAUAUGAGAGCUGGUUUCAAAGGGAGAUAUCAAGUUGGAGCACUGUUGCACUGAAGUGCAAGUUGCUGAUUUGUUCACAAAGCCACUUCCACCAAAGAAGUUCAUGUAUUGGAGAGAAUUGUUGGGUGUUGGAGAGUUUCUACCUUAAGGGGGAGUGUUAAAGGGUAAUGUAGAAAUUAUUUGUUACUGAUUGAAUAAGUUAGUCGUUGAGUCAGUCAAAUAUGUUUUAAAAACAGACUUAGUCUUUGUUUAAUGCCAGUAGUGUUCCUUCUAUUUAGGAGAUUUAUCAAGAUACUAUUAGAGUCCUAAUAUAUCUUUAAGUUGUUAGCUAUCUCGGUAUUUAAAGUACUCUUCAUGGAAUAAAGGCUGAAUGUCACUGUUUUCAAUUUCUCUGAAUUCCUAUUACUUCCGCUUCAGUCCGUUGUUCUAUUUUUUUUCAGUAGCAGCGUUUUAUCAACAGUUAGGUGGGUGAAGUUGCAAUGAAGAUUGAUAUCAGUAAGGCCUACGACAAGGUGGAUUGGAACUACUUGUGGUACAUUUUGCUGAAAUUAGGGUUUGUUGCGAGAUGGGUUUAAUAGAUAAUGCUUUGUGAGACCUUUGUUCAGUAUUCAGUUUUGCUUAAUGAUGGAGAGUUUGGCUCGAUUAUGUCAAAGGGCGGAUUCUACAAGGAGACCCGUUUUCACCUUAUUUCUAUAUCCUAUGUGAUGGAGGGCUAUCUUUCUUGUUCCGAAAGGCAAAAGAUUAUGGUGAUUUACAUGGGAUUUCUGUGAGUAAGGGAGAUAUUUCGGUUACUCACUUGCUUUUCAUUGACGAUCAUUUUUUUCUUUAUCCGUGCUAGAGAAAGUGAGUGCAGGACCAUGCGACAUAUUUUGCAUACUUAUGAAAAGGCUUUGGGUUAAACAGUUAAUUAUCAGAAGUUAGGGGUCAUGUUUAGUUCUAACAAAAAGCUAGUUGAUAAGCAUGUGGCUUUUUCUUUACUAGGGUGGAGGUGCCUAUCUCUUAGGGUUCUUAUUUGGGGCUCCCCUCCCUUGUUGGUAGGAAUAAGAGGCAAAUCUUUCGUUUUAUUCGUGAGAGACUUGCAAAUGCAUAUUUAGCUGGAAGAAUAGAUUAUUAUCGAGACUGAGUAAGGAGGUAGUGCUCAAAACUAUUGCUCAGGCAAGAACUUUUUAUUGCAUGAGUGUCUUUAUGAUUCCUACCAGUAUGUGUGAUGAGCUGCAAUGUAUGAUGAACUCGUUCUGGUAGGGUUCGGGCUCUAGUACUAGUAGAGGAAUGCUGUGGGCAUCUUAAGACUAGCUAUGUAUGUCUAAGAAGUUUGGGGGCAUGGGUUUUUGGAAUCCCUAUAGUUUCAACUUGGCAAUGCUUGGAAAGUAAAGGUAGUGUUUCGUGCUUAACCUGGAUUUUCUUCUCUGUCGCAUUUUCAAAGCCAGAUAUUUUCCCGAGUGCAGGUUCCUUGAAUCUGUAGAUGGUAAUAAGCCUUUGUUUGUUUGGAGGAGCAUACAUGCGGCCAAGCUGCUGUUGUUGAAAGGGAUUUGGUGAAGGUUUUGGUACGGGUCAUAGCAUUAGAGUUCUCUCGAACCCUUUGCUUCCGAAUGAAACAAAUUUUUAUGUCGAGUCGAUUCGAUUCUGUUUGAUGGCAUGGAUGAUCUUUGGGUGAGUGAUCUUUUAAACACUUGGGGUGACAGUUGGGAUGUUAAGCUGGUAGAAGGUAAUUUGGCUCCGUAUGAUGCUAAAAGAAUCUUGCAACUUCCUAUUGCGCAAAUAAGCUGACUGAUCAGUUUCUGUGGCACUACACACGUUCAAGGAUUUAUGAAGUUAAAUAGGGUUAUGCGUUGGUAGUUAACUCUAUGUCCACAGUUAUGGGGCUAAAGGUGGAGGGUCCUUGGUCCUUAUUGUGGAAUGUGGAUGUCCCUCUCAAGGUUAAGGAUUUUUUGUGGAGAUGUUUGCGUCGAUUCAUCCUUUGCAAAGGACGCUUAGCCGAGAGGGGUUUCCCUAUUGACUCAUUAUGUCCUCGUUGUGGAGGAGUUGAAAGCAUCGAAAGUAUCUUACUUAAAUGUCCUAUAAUGCUAGAUGCGUGGAGGGUUCUUGGACCUGUAGAGACUGCCUCGAAUGAUGUAUUUUUACGUUCUGUUCUCUCCAUGGUCAGUGUCCUGACUAAGUGCCGUAUUAUGACAGUUACGUGGAGUUUGUAGUUGUAUCGCAAUUUCUUUGUUUGGCAGGCUGCAGAUGUCACCUCCUUCACUAUUGUUUCGGUGGCCGACCAUUUCUUGAAGGACGGGAAGGAAGCCCGCAACGUUUUAGCUGGGGUGCAACAGGCUACUGCUAGGACGAUUGUUCACGAUUGUUCACGACCAACACUAGAUUCAGCCAGCCAGAAACUUUAUAAAUGCAAGCGCAUGCUGAGCAAGAUGCUUUCUCUUUUGCGGCUGUUAUUCAGGAUCACGCAGGUGCUUUUAUCUAAGGUUCUUCAAGUUUAUGUCCCUUUAUUUUGGAGCCACGCAUAGCCGAGUUGCUGGGCAUUGAUGAGGUUCUUGGCUGGCUUAAGUCUGAAUAGUUUGACCAUUUUCUUAUUUAAUCAGAUUGUAAAUAUGUUAUUAUAGCUCUUACUUCAUCGACCAUGGAUUAUACUAUUGUUCAAGAUUGUAUGUCGUUGAAAUAGUCUGUUCGACAUUUGUCCUUUCAUUGGACUCGAUGAGCUACUAAUAAGGCAGUUCAUGAGUUUGUUCGGGUAACUUUAUUAUAUGCUAAUCAUCAAACGUGGCAUAAUCUUAUCCAUUUUUUUUUUGGUCUUUUUUUAAAUAUGGAUUGCCCUUUUAUCUUCUUCCACAACCGCUAGAAGGACAUACGAUUGAGUAUAU